This 206-nucleotide ribosomal RNA is filed under the name uncultured bacterium. Its description in RNAcentral is "partial 16S ribosomal RNA". It matches the Rfam family "Bacterial small subunit ribosomal RNA", at positions 568 to 774 of the family's 1533-position model. The record is from RNAcentral.
UUUGUAGGUGGUCUGUUAAGUCAGACGUGAAAUCCCUCAGCUUAACUGGGGAACUGCGUCUGAGACUGAUGGACUUGAGGGCAGGAGAGGAACGCGGAAUUCCAGGCGUAGCGGUGAAAUGCGUAGAUAUCUGGAGGAACACCGGUGGCGAAGGCGGCGUUCUGGACUGUUUCUGACACUGAAAAACGAAAGCCAGGGAGCAAACG